Sinocyclocheilus rhinocerous is the source of this 112-nucleotide long non-coding RNA. RefSeq lists it as uncharacterized. The record is from RefSeq and is a predicted model, not a curated record. The transcript has 3 exons. Lineage: Eukaryota; Metazoa; Chordata; Actinopteri; Cypriniformes; Cyprinidae.
AAAAGACAAGUUGCUGUCUAAUAUAAUACCCAGAUUUUUGACUCUAGAGGAAGUAACAGUACAUUCGUCUAGUUGCAAAUUGUAAUCCAAGAGAUUCUGUGUACUGUUUUUU